UAUCUGCAAAUGCACGACAGCCUGCUCAGCCGCCUGGGGUCUCAGAAUUCUCAGCAGGCAUCAUCCCUCCCGUCUGCAUCAAAUGAUCGACAUCUGACUGAGAUGUUGCUUACUUGUUUUGAUAAACAGAACCUUGGGUCGUCUGGGAUGCAUCUUUGCCGCUUCUUUCCACUCCUGUUUUAUUUUGUCACUCAAUGCAUCAUCAAGAGCCACCUCCUUGAGACGUCCGAGGAGCUCCAUCCUUAUGCCAACGAAACCGUUUACACCCUUACAGAGCAGUUGGAGGGACUCGAAACACGGAAGAGCCUCCUCUUCGAUUUCUAGACCUUCCAUGGAUUGCACUACAAUGCACAUGCGUAGCAGGAUAUUGAGCUGCCCCUUUCUUAUGACAAACUUCUCCAUGUGAGUCGCUAUCAGCUUCAGGUACUGCAAGGAGUGCACCAUGCUCAGGGAAGCAAGUACAUCCCUGGUGAACUUACCAAGGGAUGAAAGGCAUAGCUCAGUGAGACCAGCCAAUGUGGUAACAAAUGGAGGUAGACUGAAUAUGUUGCCUUGUAGCUUCAGUUUACUGAGGUGGCAGGAUUUUUCCAGGGAAAAACUCAGCAAGUCUUCGGA
This 615-nucleotide ribosomal RNA is filed under the name Triticum aestivum (bread wheat). RNAcentral's name for it is "partial small subunit ribosomal RNA". Lineage: Eukaryota; Viridiplantae; Streptophyta; Magnoliopsida; Poales; Poaceae. The record is from RNAcentral.